CGACUGUUUACCAAAAACACAGGACUGUGCGAAGUCACGAAGACGACGUAUACGGUCUGACGCCUGCCCGGUGCUGGAAGGUUAAGAGGAGAGGUUAGAGCAAUCGAAGCUUUGAAUCGAAGCCCCAGUAAACGGCGGCCGUAACAAUAACGGUCCUAAGGUAGCGAAAUUCCUUGUCGGGUAAGUUCCGACCUGCACGAAUGGCGUAACGACUUCCCCGCUGUCUCAACCAUGGACUCAGUGAAAUUGAAUUCUCGGUGAAGAUGCCGAGUACCCGCGGCAAGACGGAAAGACCCCGUGAACCUUUACUAUAACUUGACAGUGGUAUUCGGGUGGAUCUGUGUAGGAUAGGUGGGAGACUUCGAAGCGGGUGCGCCAGCAUCCGUGGAGUCAUCGUUGAAAUACCACCCUGGUCCUCCUGGAUGCCUAACGUGGGCGGCUGAAGCGUCGUCACGGACACUGUCUGGUGGGUAGUUUGACUGGGGCGGUCGCCUCCCAAAAGUACGGAGGCGCACAAAGGUUCCCUCAGCCU
RNAcentral lists this ribosomal RNA (532 nucleotides) under uncultured bacterium. RNAcentral's name for it is "bacterial LSU rRNA". It matches the Rfam family "Bacterial large subunit ribosomal RNA", at positions 1797 to 2328 of the family's 2925-position model. The record is from RNAcentral.